This 330-nucleotide ribosomal RNA is filed under the name uncultured eukaryote. RNAcentral's name for it is "partial 18S ribosomal RNA". It matches the Rfam family "Eukaryotic small subunit ribosomal RNA", at positions 1470 to 1796 of the family's 1831-position model. The record is from RNAcentral.
CCCUUAGAUGUCCUGGGCCGCACGCGCGCUACACUGACGGAGCCAGCGAGCGUGUCCUUCGCCGAAAGGUGCGGGUAAUCUUGGCAGCCUCCGUCGUGCUGGGGAUAGAUGGUUGCAAUUAUUGAUCUUGAACGAGGAAUUCCUAGUAAGCGCGAGUCACCAGCUCGCGUUGAUUACGUCCCUGCCCUUUGUACACACCGCCCGUCGCUACUACCGAUUGGAUGGCUUAAUGAGAGCUCUGGAUCUCUGCCGGCGCGGUCCUCACGGGUCGCGUUGGAUGGGGAGAAGUUGCUCAAAUUGAGUCGUCUAGAGGAAGUAAAAGUCGUAACA